This 716-nucleotide ribosomal RNA is filed under the name Pedobacter sp. A6ATC1. RNAcentral's name for it is "bacterial SSU rRNA". It matches the Rfam family "Bacterial small subunit ribosomal RNA", at positions 112 to 826 of the family's 1533-position model. The record is from RNAcentral. Lineage: Bacteria; Pseudomonadati; Bacteroidota; Sphingobacteriia; Sphingobacteriales; Sphingobacteriaceae.
AACGCGUAUGCAACCUACCUUAAUCAGGGGGAUAGCCCGAAGAAAUUCGGAUUAACACCGCAUAAAAUCACAGUACAGCAUUGUACAAUGAUCAAAUAUUUAUAGGAUUAAGAUGGGCAUGCGUGUCAUUAGUUAGUUGGCGAGGUAACGGCUCACCAAGACCACGAUGACUAGGGGAUCUGAGAGGAUGACCCCCCACACUGGUACUGAGACACGGACCAGACUCCUACGGGAGGCAGCAGUAAGGAAUAUUGGUCAAUGGAGGCAACUCUGAACCAGCCAUGCCGCGUGCAGGAAGACAGCCCUCUGGGUCGUAAACUGCUUUUAUUCGGGAAUAAACCUACUUACGUGUAAGGAGCUGAAUGUACCGAAGGAAUAAGGAUCGGCUAACUCCGUGCCAGCAGCCGCGGUAAUACGGAGGAUCCAAGCGUUAUCCGGAUUUAUUGGGUUUAAAGGGUGCGUAGGCGGCUUAUUAAGUCAGGGGUGAAAGACGGUGGCUCAACCAUCGCAGUGCCCUUGAUACUGAUGAGCUUGAAUACACUAGAGGUAGGCGGAAUGUGACAAGUAGCGGUGAAAUGCAUAGAUAUGUCACAGAACACCGAUUGCGAAGGCAGCUUACUAUGGUGUCAUUGACGCUGAGGCACGAAAGCGUGGGGAUCAAACAGGAUUAGAUACCCUGGUAGUCCACGCCCUAAACGAUGAAUACUCGCUGUUAG